This 45-nucleotide non-coding RNA is filed under the name Schistosoma mansoni. Lineage: Eukaryota; Metazoa; Platyhelminthes; Trematoda; Strigeidida; Schistosomatidae. The record is from RNAcentral.
AUCCAGCUGACGAGUCCCGAAUAGAACGAAAUGAGCGUUGUAGAU